This 429-nucleotide ribosomal RNA is filed under the name Acidobacteriota bacterium. RNAcentral describes it as "Acidobacteria bacterium partial 16S ribosomal RNA". It matches the Rfam family "Bacterial small subunit ribosomal RNA", at positions 355 to 776 of the family's 1533-position model. The record is from RNAcentral. Lineage: Bacteria; Pseudomonadati; Acidobacteriota.
UGGGGAAUUUUGGACAAUGGGGGAAACCCUGAUCCAGCCAUCCCGCGUGUGCGAUGAAGGCCUUCGGGUUGUAAAGCACUUUUGGCAGGAAAGAAACGUCAUGGGUUAAUACCCCGUGAAACUGACGGUACCUGCAGAAUAAGCACCGGCUAACUACGUGCCAGCAGCCGCGGUAAUACGUAGGGUGCAAGCGUUAACCGGAAUUACUGGGCGUAAAGCGUGCGCAGGCGGUUCGGAAAGAAAGAUGUGAAAUCCCAGAGAUCAACUGUGGAACUGCAUUUUUAACUACCGGGCUAGAGUGUGUCAGAGGGAGGUGGAAUUCCGCGUAUAGCAGUGAAAUGCGUAGAUAUGCGGAGGAACACCGAUGGCGAAGGCAGCCUCCUGGGAUAACACAGACGCUCAUGCACGAAAGCGUGGGGAGCAAACAGG